CUACGGGGGGCUCCAGUGGGGAAUAUUGGACAAUGGGGGAAACCCUGAUCCAGCAAUGCCGCGUGUGUGAAGAAGGCCUGCGGGUUGUAAAGCACUUUCGGUUGGGAGGACUGCUUCUAGCACUAAUAUUGUUGGAAGUUGACGUUACCUUCAGAAGAAGCACCGGCUAGCUCCGUGCCAGCAGCCGCGGUAAUACGGGAGGGUGCAAGCGUUAAUCGGAAUUACUGGGCGUAAAGCGCGCGUAGGCGGCUAGAUCAGUCGGGUGUGAAAGCCCCGGGCUUAACCUGGGAACUGCAUCCGAUACUGUCUAGCUUGAGUACAGGAGAGGAGAGUGUAAUUCCACAUGUAGCGGUGAAAUGCGUAGAUAUGUGGAGGAACACCAAUGGCGAAGGCAGCUCUCUGGCCUGAUACUGACGCUGAGGUGCGAAAGCGUGGGGAGCAAACAGGAUUAGAUACCCGUGUAGUC
This 466-nucleotide ribosomal RNA is filed under the name uncultured bacterium. Its description in RNAcentral is "partial 16S ribosomal RNA". It matches the Rfam family "Bacterial small subunit ribosomal RNA", at positions 339 to 795 of the family's 1533-position model. The record is from RNAcentral.